AUGGGAGCCAAAACGAAAUCACACGAUCCAUCUACCCAAAUCCAUGCCCCAUGGCAUCAUCCAUUUCUCAGUUUUCAUCUCCCCGUGUGGAGGCACGCGAUGCAUCAUCUCCUUUCCCCAGUUUCAGAAUCUUCAUCAAACCCCAGAUGCCUCCUGAGAAGCUGGAUCAUUAGAGUCUACAAGUUCGUCCCUGCGACGCUUCUCCUCAGCAUCUUCCACAAGUUUAGCAACGAAAGCAUACCUAAAAUCAUCAUGAGCAGAAGGAGCAAUGGUACAUCCAUCGAAGUUUUGAGUUACAACUUCCAAUCCAAAGCGCCGGAUCAGUCUGUUCUGGUAGGACUUGUUGCAGUCAUAGUACUUGUCCCUCAGGUCCUGAGCCAUCAAGCCGGCUUCAAUCGUAAUGCCCAGCAGCGCAGCCUUCCGAACCAAAAGAUCAGCAUCAGAACAAUCCUGAUGAGGACCUUGCAUGCAGUUCAGGGCGAGCUCCCGGACCCGCGUGCUCUCGUGGGGGGAUUCCUCCGGGUCCAGAAGACCGGGGUCGCAGCCCAGCCUCUCGAUGAUCAGCUCGGUCUCCUUGGCGACGCACGCGGCGGCGAUCAUGGCGAUGGAAGAACCUUCGCCGCCGUCGGAGAGGAUGAGGUUCAGGGCGCACCUGUGGAUGUCGUCGCUCAGCCUGAUCUCGUCCGGGGAGACGACGGACCGCCGGGACAGCCACUGGGACUUCAGGUUGAUCUCCUGCUCCAUGCACAGCCUGUAGGCGUCGGGACCGGGACGGAGGAGUGCGCCGUUGCGGCCGCAGAACUUCUGGAGGUACGCGCGGUACGGGCACCAGUCGUCCAGAGCUUGAGGGUACAGGCGAUCGGAUCCCCACGCUCGCUCGAAGAGACGGGGGAAGUGGAUCAUCAGCAAGGGAGGAACGGGGCUGUCGGGAUCGGGAUCCCCAGGCUCCUGACUGGGGUCGACGAAUUGGUCACACCAUGA
This 981-nucleotide ribosomal RNA is filed under the name Triticum aestivum (bread wheat). RNAcentral describes it as "partial small subunit ribosomal RNA". Lineage: Eukaryota; Viridiplantae; Streptophyta; Magnoliopsida; Poales; Poaceae. The record is from RNAcentral.